GACGAACGCUGGCGGCGUGCCUAAUACAUGCAAGUAGAACGCACAGUUUAUACCGUAGCUUGCUACACCAUAGACUGUGAGUUGCGAACGGGUGAGUAACGCGUAGGUAACCUGCCUGGUAGCGGGGGAUAACUAUUGGAAACGAUAGCUAAUACCGCAUAAUAUUGAUUAUUGCAUGAUAAUUGAUUGAAAGAUGCUAUUGCAUCACUACCAGAUGGACCUGCGUUGUAUUAGCUAGUAGGUGAGGUAACGGCUCACCUAGGCGACGAUACAUAGCCGACCUGAGAGGGUGAUCGGCCACACUGGGACGGAGACACGGCCCAGACUCCUACGGGAGGCAGCAGUAGGGAAUCUUCGGCAAUGGACGAAAGUCUGACCGAGCAACGCCGCGUGAGUGAAGAAGGUUGUCGGAUCGUAAAGCUCUGUUGUAAGAGAAGAACGGGUGUGAGAGUGGAAAGUUCACACUGUGACGGUAUCUGACCAGAAAGGGACGGCUAACUACGUG
This 505-nucleotide ribosomal RNA is filed under the name uncultured bacterium. Its description in RNAcentral is "partial 16S ribosomal RNA". It matches the Rfam family "Bacterial small subunit ribosomal RNA", at positions 28 to 507 of the family's 1533-position model. The record is from RNAcentral.